RNAcentral lists this ribosomal RNA (1375 nucleotides) under uncultured bacterium. RNAcentral's name for it is "bacterial SSU rRNA". It matches the Rfam family "Bacterial small subunit ribosomal RNA", at positions 43 to 1397 of the family's 1533-position model. The record is from RNAcentral.
CAGGCCUAACACAUGCAAGUCGAGCGGAAACGAGUUAUCUGAACCUUCGGGGGACGAUAACGGCGUCGAGCGGCGGACGGGUGAGUAAUGCCUAGGAAAUUGCCCUGAUGUGGGGGAUAACCAUUGGAAACGAUGGCUAAUACCGCAUGAUGCCUACGGGCCAAAGAGGGGGACCUUCGGGCCUCUCGCGUCAGGAUAUGCCUAGGUGGGAUUAGCUAGUUGGUGAGGUAAGGGCUCACCAAGGCGACGAUCCCUAGCUGGUCUGAGAGGAUGAUCAGCCACACUGGAACUGAGACACGGUCCAGACUCCUACGGGAGGCAGCAGUGGGGAAUAUUGCACAAUGGGCGCAAGCCUGAUGCAGCCAUGCCGCGUGUGUGAAGAAGGCCUUCGGGUUGUAAAGCACUUUCAGUCGUGAGGAAGGUAGUGUAGUUAAUAGCUGCAUUAUUUGACGUUAGCGACAGAAGAAGCACCGGCUAACUCCGUGCCAGCAGCCGCGGUAAUACGGAGGGUGCGAGCGUUAAUCGGAAUUACUGGGCGUAAAGCGCAUGCAGGUGGUUUGUUAAGUCAGAUGUGAAAGCCCGGGGCUCAACCUCGGAAUAGCAUUUGAAACUGGCAGACUAGAGUACUGUAGAGGGGGGUAGAAUUUCAGGUGUAGCGGUGAAGUGCGUAGAGAUCUGAAGGAAUACCGGUGGCGAAGGCGGCCCCCUGGACAGAUACUGACACUCAGAUGCGAAAGCGUGGGGAGCAAACAGGAUUAGAUACCCUGGUAGUCCACGCCGUAAACGAUGUCUACUUGGAGGUUGUGGCCUUGAGCCGUGGCUUUCGGAGCUAACGCGUUAAGUAGACCGCCUGGGGAGUACGGUCGCAAGAUUAAAACUCAAAUGAAUUGACGGGGGCCCGCACAAGCGGUGGAGCAUGUGGUUUAAUUCGAUGCAACGCGAAGAACCUUACCUACUCUUGACAUCCAGAGAGCUUUCCAGAGAUGGAUUGGUGCCUUCGGGAACUCUGAGACAGGUGCUGCAUGGCUGUCGUCAGCUCGUGUUGUGAAAUGUUGGGUUAAGUCCCGCAACGAGCGCAACCCUUAUCCUUGUUUGCCAGCGAGUAAUGUCGGGAACUCCAGGGAGACUGCCGGUGAUAAACCGGAGGAAGGUGGGGACGACGUCAAGUCAUCAUGGCCCUUACGAGUAGGGCUACACACGUGCUACAAUGGCGCAUACAGAGGGCGGCCAACUUGCGAAAGUGAGCGAAUCCCAAAAAGUGCGUCGUAGUCCGGAUUGGAGUCUGCAACUCGACUCCAUGAAGUCGGAAUCGCUAGUAAUCGUGGAUCAGAAUGCCACGGUGAAUACGUUCCCGGGCCUUGUACACACCGCCCGU